Molecule: ribosomal RNA, 253 nt
Filed under: uncultured bacterium
Lineage: Bacteria
Description: partial 16S ribosomal RNA
Rfam family: Bacterial small subunit ribosomal RNA
Source: RNAcentral
UACAGAGGGUGCGAGCGUUAAUCGGAAUUACUGGGCGUAAAGCGCACGUAGUCGGCUUUGCAAGUCGGGUGUGAAAUCCCCGGGCUCAACCUGGGAACUGCAUCCGAGACUGCAUUGCUAGAGUAUGGGAGAGGGAAGCGGAAUUUCUGGUGUAGCAGUGAAAUGCGUAGAUAUCAGAAGGAACAUCAGUGGCGAAGGCGGCUUCCUGGACCAAUACUGACGAGCAGGUGCGAAAGCGUGGGGAGCAAACAGG